GCCGGUGUGGCUCAGUUGGUAGAGCAACUGAUUCGUAAUCAGUAGGUCGGUGGUUCGAGUCCACUCACCGGCA
RNAcentral lists this transfer RNA (73 nucleotides) under Candidatus Kentrum sp. FM. Its description in RNAcentral is "Candidatus Kentron sp. FM tRNA_Thr_CGT". It matches the Rfam family "tRNA". From Rfam's summary of the family: Transfer RNA (tRNA) molecules are approximately 80 nucleotides in length. Their secondary structure includes four short double-helical elements and three loops (D, anti-codon, and T loops). RNAcentral also lists the same sequence under 1 other name. The record is from RNAcentral. Lineage: Bacteria; Pseudomonadati; Pseudomonadota; Gammaproteobacteria.